AAAUAAAAAUUAAUAAUAUAAAUUUAAUAAAAGUAAUUUUAAUAUUAAAAUAAAUAAUGGGGGUUAAAGUAUUUUAAUAGAAAAAAUUAGAAAUUUUAUAGAAAAUUAGUAUAGAAAUAGAAAUUUGAAAUAAUUGAAAAUAAAUUUAUUAAAAAGUAAAUUUAAUUUAUUGUAUCUUGUGUAUCAGAGUUUAUUAAAUAAAUUUUUAAAAUUAAAAUAUCUCGAAUUUAAAAGAGUUAAUUAAUUAAUAAAAUUAAUGUAAAAUAAUUAUUUUAAAUAAUUAAUUUGAAAUGAAAUGUUAAUCGUUUUUAAAUAUAUCUAGUUAUUUUAGAAAAAAAUUUAAUUUUAAAUUUAUUUUAAAAUAAAUUAUUUAAAUAAUUUAUUUUAAAGUAAAUUUUAUAAUUUAAGGGAUAAGCUUUAAAUUAUAAAAUUAUAAUAAUUUAAUAAAAUUUAAAAUUUUUAAAAUUUAUAUUGUUUAAAAGUUAAAAUUUAUUAUAAAAAAUUUUAUUAAAUAUAAAAUUUAAUAUAAAUUUAAUUUUUUAUAAAAAUAUAAUUUAUAAUAUAAAAAUUUUAGAAAAAAUGGUAAAAUUAGUAUAAUAAAAUAAAUGAAAAUAAUAUUUAUUAAAAUAUAAUUAAAAGGAAUUCGGCAAAUUUUUAUAUUCACCUGUUUAACAAAAACAUGUCUUUUUGAUAAAUAAUUUAAAGUCUAGUCUGCCCACUGAUUAAGUAUUAAAGGGCUGCAGUAUAUUGACUGUACAAAGGUAGCAUAAUCAUUAGUCUUUUAAUUGAAGACUUGUAUGAAGGAUUUGAUGAAAUAUAUACUGUCUCUUAUUUAUUUGUAAAAUUUAAUUUUUUAGUUAAAAAGCUAAAAUAGUUUUAAAAGACGAGAAGACCCUAUAGAGUUUUAUAUUUAUUAGUUUAAAAUAUUUAUUUAAAAUUUUAAUAUUUUAAAUUAAUAAAUAUUGUAUUGGGGUGAUAAAAAAAUUAAUUGAACUUUUUUUAUAUAUAAACAAAAAUAAAUGAAUAAUUGAUCCAUAAUUAAUGAUUAAAAGAAAAAAUUACCUUAGGGAUAACAGCGUAAUAUUUUUUUUUAGUACAAAUAAAAAAAAAAGUUUGCGACCUCGAUGUUGGAUUAAAAUAAAAUUUAAAUGCAAAAGUUUAAAAUUUUGAUCUGUUCGAUCAUUAAAAUCUUACAUGAUCUGAGUUCAAACCGGUGUAAGCCAGGUUGGUUUCUAUCUUUAAAAAAAUAAAAUAUUUUA
This 1259-nucleotide ribosomal RNA is filed under the name Artopoetes pryeri. RNAcentral's name for it is "partial 16S ribosomal RNA". Lineage: Eukaryota; Metazoa; Arthropoda; Insecta; Lepidoptera; Lycaenidae. The record is from RNAcentral.